Molecule: ribosomal RNA, 253 nt
Filed under: uncultured bacterium
Lineage: Bacteria
Description: partial 16S ribosomal RNA
Rfam family: Bacterial small subunit ribosomal RNA
Source: RNAcentral
UACGGAGGGUGCAAGCGUUAUCCGGAUUCACUGGGUUUAAAGGGUGCGUAGGUGGGUUGGUAAGUCAGCGGUGAAAUCCCCGAGCUUAACUUGGGAACUGCCAUUGAUACUAUCAGUCUUGAAUAUUGUGGAGGUUAGCGGAAUAUGUCAUGUAGCGGUGAAAUGCUUAGAUAUGACAUAGAACACCAAUUGCGAAGGCAGCUGGCUACGCAUAUAUUGACACUGAGGCACGAAAGCGUGGGGAUCAAACAGG